Alligator sinensis (Chinese alligator) is the source of this 4274-nucleotide RNA transcript. It is a transcript of the gene named F-box/LRR-repeat protein 7-like, with no coding region annotated. The record is from RefSeq and is a predicted model, not a curated record. The transcript is spliced from 4 exons. NCBI's taxonomy places the organism in Eukaryota, Metazoa, Chordata, Crocodylia, Alligatoridae.
CCCCCCCCCCCCCCCGGCUCGGCCAUGCGCGGAGCAUGACGGCGGCAGGAUGGGAGCUAACAAUGGCAAGCAGUGCGGCAGCGAGGGAAAAGGCAGCUCAAGCAUCUCAUCUGAUGUGAGUUCAAGUACAGAUCACACACCAACCAAAGCCCAAAAGAAUGCGGCUACCAGUGAAGACCAAAAAUUCUACACCUGCCAUUGAAACAGAAUGUAGUGUCGGGCCUGCUUUGGAGGACUUCUUUUGUGUUCUUGCAAAAGCUGUUUCCUUUGUGCAGAGCAAGCAACAUUAAAUCACAUUGGCCUGAUGUGCCUGAGCGAGAAGAUCAUAUUUUCAUCUGGUCUACCGAAGCGGCCUGCCUCAAAAGCACUUUGGGGUGUGUGCUCUGCUUACAAGAGUGUAUAUCAUUGCAGCAUCAGGGGGAAUGGAAUAUCAUCAUUUACAGUAAUACAAAUCUAUAUUAUGUAAAAUGGCAUGCAAAGAAAAUGAAGUACCAUGAACACAGUGCUGUGGCAUAACUCUGAAAUCCUUUGUCAGAGCACACAGCACAGCAGUUUGCGGUGCCAUUCCUAUUUCACACUGCUCCCUGCCACACAUCCCUAGAGAUUUUUGUUUCAUUAUUUAGGCCCCCUCUACAUUUUACAGGUAUUGCACAAUCAAUAAGUUAAUUGUGCAAUUAACUUAAGAUCAGUUACACAUACAAAGUACUUAUCAUGAUAAAAAGAUCCAACCAGCUGUAAAGUUAGACCUUUAAAAUGUGUAGUAACUUGAUAUCAGCUUGGAUUGAGCUUUAAUUUGCAUGUGUAGCAGGGUCUUCCCUGCAGCUGGGAGUCUUGUCAGCUGACAGGGCUCCCAGCUGCAGAGAGAUACCAUGCCCAGCAUGAAACCCCUAGGCUCUGGGGAUUGAGGCAUGAUUGUGUGGAUUGCACCUUAGAUUUCAUAGUGCCUUUAUCUGCACAUGUAGAGGGGGCCUAGAAGUAACAGAGCCCAAUUAUUAGUGGGGUUGAGGUCUCCCUUAAGAUUAAAUGCAUACAAUUACUUGAUUAGCUAGUUAUGUUCAGCAUGAAACUAUACAUUUUAAUAUACACUGUUCAUUAAAGGCCUCACUCCAACAUAUACUUAUGUUGAGCAGCAGUUACAAGUAUCAUCCAUUUACCUCUGUAGGAUGAUAUCAGAGUGAGGAAUAUGAUCAAGUGUUGCACCAUCAAAUGAUAAAUGGUAUGUGCUCCCUGACUAUCUUUCUUUAACUGCCAGGUGAGGCCAACCUUAACAUUAAACUCAGUUGGAAAAAUCCUGUUACUGGUUUUUUUUCAAGGGAAAUACAGGUUCUGCGAAAUGGAAAUUUCCAUUAGAAAAUUUCUGGUUUGCUGAGUGUUAUUUGGGGGAAAGAAAUCCCCAAAAUAUUUUAUAUUUUAAUUCCAGGUCAAGUUUAUCCAGUUCAAAAUAUUUCCGUUUCUUGGAAUGACUCUAGAUAUCUAACCUGGAAUCCUUUCAAUAUGAACUCUUGUAGUGCCUCAGGAUAUCUGGUUUGAAUGCCUCAUGCUCUCAUUCUCUGCUGUAUUCCGAGUUUCCAAAUUUGCAUCGUUAGGGAUAUAGCCAAAAUUCUUCUUGGAGAGGUACAUUAUGGGAGUUACCUACCUCUAGAUGUAUCAUGAGUGACACUCCUGUUAGUUGUAGAAAAGCAUCAUUGAGAGAGACAGCUCAACAGAAUCUAUUUUUUUUUUCAAGUUUUAGCUUCUGUGAAAUCUCAAUAUCAUAACAGGGUUUUUUCUCAUCCUAAUUUGGGAUGAAACAAACAUUGAGCUGCUGGAAUUUCCCAUUGGAUGCAUAUUCUGAUUUUCCACAGUUCUAGCUAAUGUACCUGAUGCCCUUUUGAGAGUCUUUUCUGUGAAACCUUGUAUUAAAUUAUCACACAAGCUUUAAAUCAAGCAAGAGGGGAGUGUUGACUAAGUUGUUUGUUACAUAAUUUUGGUAGACAGCAAUUGCAUUCCUGUUGCUACUUAAAAUUAUAUCAUGCUCUGGAUGGACUCUCUGACAGCUCUUUGGAAAAGGAAAAAUUCCAUGGAUUGUACCCAGGCACAUCUCAAACGGGUGUCAGUGAAAGUGUUGCCUGUGGAAUGUAUACUGAAUUAAUCUCCAAGCAUGGAAAAAUGAAGUCAGUGGUAUUUUCAGUCACUACAAAAAUAUCUCUCUUAAUCAUUGGAAGAUGAAAGAUAGUACCACUCUUAGGAGGUGUUAGUGUAGGAUUUGUAAGGAUAGAGUUAAAUGCCCUGAUCUGCCAUAGGCUUUACUGUUGUUGAGUGUAUUGCUUUAUUAAUGCUUCAGUUCCUUAGAUGCAUAAAAGGGUGAUAACAGUGUCUUACAUCUGGCCUUUUAGGCAGUGAUCCAUCUAGUGUGCAACUAUAGUAUUUACAAGACAGUCUCCCUGCCCCCCUCCUCCCCCAGUUGAUAAGGGGGCAGGGGGGGAAAGCCCCUUUGUCCUGUAAUCAUAUACAAGGAAAUCUCACUAAAUACACGAUCUUUCAUUAGGGACAUACUUAAUUGUGAAGGGGAACAACCAAGAUGGCCACCCCCUCCUCCGCCCUUUGCUGCUCAUUGGCUCAGAGGGCUUCCCAUCACAUGGCAACACCCCUCUGCACUAAUCAGCAGUGAGGGGUUGGGCCAGAGAACAGGCAACCCUCAGCCAAUCAGCCGUGAGGGGCAGAACCUCUGCUGCCUCUCAGCUAAUCAGUUGUCUUCUAUCUGAGUAAAUACAGUAUAUGCAUGUACGUAUAGUAUAAUCAUAUAAUAUAAUAUAGCAUAACAUAAGCAAUAUACAUGCAUAUAUGUGUGUGACUUUAUUUAAUGAUUAACAUCUAUAUCUAUAUAAUAUCUAAAAACCUCGUAGGGAAAAUGGGCAUUUAUACACAUGCUCGGGGGGGCAUGAUUUUUAAUUAUUGCAGCUCUGAGAGCCACGCUAAUUAAAGCUCCCAAAGUGUCACAUGUAUCAGCAUCCCUGUGCUGAAAUAUGAUGGAUGGGGUACUUUUACUAAAAUGUGCUCAAUGAACUUUAAGAAAAGUGCCCCUGCUGCUAUUUUUUCAGCAUGGGGACACUGAUGCGUGGUAAUUACCACGCUCCAGCAGACCUGAUUUAUUGAAUCUGCUCCGAUGCACUGUAAUUACAGUGCAUCAGAGCACCAUCACUGCAUGUGUAUAGGUGCCCAAUGAGGCUAUUUUCCUCGCAGUUUAAUUGAAAGAGAACAUCCUCCAGUUUUUCCCAACUCAUUUUGAAUUAUGCUGAAUUUAAGGAAUUCGUAAUUCACUUUGUUUUUAAGAAUAAAGUAGGAUUAUGAAAACUCAACUGAGGAAAUCUUUGCUAGUAAUUUUAAGAGAGAAGUUUUAAACUAGUCCUUGGUGUUGGGAGAGGGAGAAGCUUAUAAAUUUAUCUGAAACAGUUAUGUUUUGAGAGAGCUGCACAUAUUUUCCUAUUUGUGCAUAGUUCCAAUUGAACUUUACUGAGAUCUUUGUAAUCUUUUCCCAGAUACUUUUACAGGAUAGUUAAUGUCUUUUCGUACCCUGGUCAUCUUUCCUUUCUAUUUUUCAAGCUGCUUGGGCUUUCGGUACAUCUAAUACAGAAUUCUCAUACUAAAAUUUCUCACAGCUCAUGUAGUUCUUACCUGAAUGGAGUUCAGAAUAUUUGCAUCUUUGGAGUCAUAGGAUUUCUGAAAAAUAAAUUGAUAGCUUUAUUCUGUACGAGUCUUCCCAGGAGUGUCUACAUUUCAGUGGUGAUAUAGCUUGUGAAGUGUCUUGGGAUCUUCAGAAUGGAAGCCUCUAGAUGUAUAAAAUAGAAGCAUGUAAAGUUAACCCUUUCAAGUACUUUUGAGAGAGAAUAUUUUUUACAGAAGAUAGCAAUAAAUGUGUAAGACUUGCCAGAGUUAGUGUAAUGAAAGUUUCAUAGUUUUUGCUGUAAUGCACAUAUGUAAAAAAUAUCUAUGCACUCACCCUAAGUAUAGCGUGUACCUAUAGUACUGGUCAUAUGUGGUGUCUCCCUGUAUUAGGAACAGGAGAACACAAAACUAUCAUCAUUUCAGUUGCAGAUGUGAGGGGUUUUUUUGUUGUGUUUUUUUUAAUGGCCCUGUAAACGUUCAGAUACUUGGUACAUAAAGGUGUCCAUUCACAGAUAUCAUGAGCACGUCCACACAUGCAAGCACGUGCGCUUGCAGCAGCUCAAAUAGAAGUGGUGCAAAUUUGAGCCGGGACUUUUGGUCUCAGCGCACGUGCUUGGACAUGUACUUUG